CCGGCACGGGUGAGUAACACGUAUCCAACCUGCCGUCUACUCUUGGACAGCCUUCUGAAAGGAAGAUUAAUACAAGAUGGCAUCAUGAGUCCACAUGUUCACAUGAUUAAAGGUAUUCCGGUAGACGAUGGGGAUGCGUUCCAUUAGAUAGUAGGCGGGGUAACGGCCCACCUAGUCUUCGACGGAUAGGGGUUCUGAGAGGAAGGUCCCCCACAUUGGAACUGAGACACGGUCCAA
This 237-nucleotide ribosomal RNA is filed under the name uncultured bacterium. RNAcentral describes it as "partial 16S ribosomal RNA". It matches the Rfam family "Bacterial small subunit ribosomal RNA", at positions 100 to 334 of the family's 1533-position model. The record is from RNAcentral.